This is a long non-coding RNA of Oncorhynchus tshawytscha (Chinook salmon), 1520 nucleotides long. The record is from Ensembl. Lineage: Eukaryota; Metazoa; Chordata; Actinopteri; Salmoniformes; Salmonidae.
GGCAGAAAUAGAACUUUCUGACCAAUGGAAUGCUUUAUAAAGGGAAAACUCCCCCAACAUGGCAUGCUGGGUGAGCUGAAUUGACACACAAAAAGUAUUGCUAACACAGAUAGAUGAUUCUGACACAGACAGCACUAAGUGAUAAUCAGCAAACUUAACAUGUGUAAAUAUUUGUAUGAACAUAACAAGAUUCAACAACUGAGACAAACUGAACAAGUUCCACAGACAUGACUAACAGAAAUGGAAUAGUGUGUCCCUGAACAAAGGGGGGGUCAAAAUCAAAAGUAACAGUCAGUAUCUGGUGUGGCCACCAGCUGCAUUAAGUACUGCAGUGCAUCAUGGACUGCACCAGAUUUGCCAUUUCUUGCUGUGAAAUGUUACCCCUCUCUUCCACCAAGACACCUGCAAGUUCCCAGACAUUUCUGGGGGGAAUGGCCCUAGCCCUCACCCUCCAAUCCAACAGGUCCCAGAUGUGCUCAAUGGCAUUGAGAUCCGGGCUCUUUGCUGGCAGAACACUGACAUUCCUGUCUUGCAGGAAAUCACGCACAGAACGAGCAGUAUGGCUGGUGGCAUUGUCAUGCUGGAGGGUCAUGUCAGGAUGAGCCUGCAGGAAGGGUACCACAUGAGGGAGGAGGAUGUCUUCCUUGUAACGCACAGCUUUGAGAUUGCCUGCAAUGAUAACAAGCUCAGUCCAAUGAUGCUGUGACACACCGCCCCAGACCAUGACGGACCCUCCACCUCCAAAUUGAUCACGCUCCAGAGUACAGGCCUCGGUGUAAUGCUCAUUCCUUCGACGAUAAACACAAAUCCGACCAUCCCGCCUGGUGACACAAAACCGCGACUCGUCAGUGAAGAGCACUUUUUGCCAGUCCUGUCUGGUCCAGCGACGGUAGGUUUGUGUCCAUAGGCGACGUUGUUGCCGGUGAUGUCUGGUGAGGACCUGCCUACAAGCCCUGUCCAGCCUCUCAGCCUAUUGCGGACAGUCUGAGCACUGAUGGAAGGAUUGUGCAUUCCUGGUGUAACUUGGGCAGUUGUUGUUGCCAUUCUGUUCCUGUCCCGCAGGUGUGAUGUUCGGAUGUACUGAUCCUGUGCAAGCGUCUCACAGUACGGAUGUUGCAAUUUAUUGCCCUGGCCACAUCUGCAGUCCUCAUGCCUCCUUGCAGCAUGCCUAAGGCACGUUCAAGAGGAUGAGCAGGGACCCUGGGCAUUUUUCUUUUGGUGUUUUUCAGAGUCAGUAGAAAGGCCUCUUUAGUGUCCUAAGUUUUCAUAGCUGUGACGUUAAUUGCCUACCAUCUGUAAGCUGUUAGUGUCUUAACGAUCGUUCCACAGGUGCAUGUUAAUUAAUUGUUUAUGGUUCAUUGAAAAGCACGGGAAACCGUGUUCAAAGCCUUUACAAUGAAGAUCUGUGAGGUUAUUUGGAUUUUUACGAAUUAUCUUUGAAAGACAGGGUCCUGAAAAUGGGACGUUUCUUUUUUUGCUGAGUUUAUAUGUUUAUAUCUGUUUACUCUAAUGGUUUUACC